This is a long non-coding RNA of Rosa chinensis, 204 nucleotides long. RefSeq lists it as uncharacterized. The record is from RefSeq and is a predicted model, not a curated record. The transcript has 2 exons. Lineage: Eukaryota; Viridiplantae; Streptophyta; Magnoliopsida; Rosales; Rosaceae.
UUGUCACGGGACUCCAUUGGGAGAUGAUAGAUUGUGUGUUUCUGUUUAUGCUGCUUUGGAGGAAAAGGCUCUGAUUCCAUUUGCUGUAGAAGAUGAGAUCAAGACAGUGAAGCAAGCUAUGGGGAGCUGGGUAAUGUGGCCGAAAAACCUGAUCAUAUUUGAUGAAAAGACAAAAACAAGUGCUAAAGCAAGUAGGAAGAAGAA